ACUCAAAGGAAUUGACGGGGGCCCGCACAAGCGGUGGAUCAUGUGGUUUAAUUCGAAGCAACGCGAAGAACCUUACCUGGAUUUGACAUCCUCUGACAUCCGUAGAGAUACGGCUUUCGUAGCAAUACGACAGAGAGACAGGUGCUGCAUGGCUGUCGUCAGCUCGUGUGGUGACAUGUUGGGUUAAGUCCCGCAACGAGCGCAACCCCUGUCCUUAGUUGCCAGCAUUAAGUUGGGCUCUCUAGGGAGACUGCCGUGGUUAACACGGAGGAAGGUGGGGAUGACGUCAAGUCCUCAUGGCCUUUAUAUCCAGGGCGACACACGUGAUACAAUGGUCGGUACAGAGGGAAGCGAAACCGCGAGGUGGAGCCAAUCUCAAAAAGCCGAUCUCAGUUCGGAUUGGAGUCUGCAAUUCGACUCCAUGAAGUUGGAAUCGCUAGUAAUCGCGGAUCAGCACGCCGCGGUGAAUACGUUCCCGGGCCUUGCACACACCGCCCGU
RNAcentral lists this ribosomal RNA (499 nucleotides) under uncultured bacterium. RNAcentral's name for it is "partial 16S ribosomal RNA". It matches the Rfam family "Bacterial small subunit ribosomal RNA", at positions 899 to 1397 of the family's 1533-position model. The record is from RNAcentral.